AACAGUACUCCUGUUCCUAUUAUGUGACAACGUAAACUUGGCUGGAAACAUAACAUUCUUUUAAAUAUUUCUUAGAGGGAAAGUUUUCUGUUUUUGAGGAUUGAUCUCCCUCAUGACAACAAGUCAACAUUGCUCUGCAUCUUUAAUCUGAGAAGUAUGAGACAGGUGUGGAGACUUUCUUGGCAUGGAACUGUACAUUGGUCACAAAAUGUUGAGGACAGCAAACAGGCUUCCAUUACCUGUGUGCAAAGGAUCUCAUCUUGGAGGCUCUGGUAUCUGGAAAACAUCUAUGAGAAAUAAUAGCUGCAAAGUAUUUCUGUGUCCUCAGAAGAAGUGUGUGGAUUUGCCUGCACUGUGUGAGCUGACAGCACCCACUUAACUGACCUGUGAAAGUGGCCGUACUUGGUUUUGGCAAGUUUUUUCCUUCAUAGCCCCACAAUUCCUGCAGAGCAAAGAAAAUGCUUUGAACAGGAUGAUCUAGAACAGAGGGAGACAGCAUUUAGCGUAAAGAACUAUGUGAAGCAGGAAAAAUUAAAAAGAAACCUCCGCUACUCUAAAGCAACAGCAAGACCAUUGCAGAGGUCAGAAUGGCCAGGGCUGUAAUAAGCUUCUAAAAAUGUAUGUUCCGCUGCUGAAUUGCUUUGCCCUUGUCUCCAGAGCUUCUCAGGGAAUUGUAUUCAAUCUCAGGUUUUAUGAAGACGAGCUCAAUGAAGAUUUGGUCUGCAGCAUUUCUGGCUGCAGUCUUUCUGGCUUUAGCCUUGUUUGUGUGUGAUUAUUUUUUUUCCAAACCAUAGAAUUGCUGAAAGGUUUUAUACCUUUUCUAGUUUCUCCCGUCAAAGGUUACGGAUAGACUCAUCAUCUAAUUAUUUUGUUUCCAUCUUGUAAACAAGAUCUGGAGAAUAAGAUAGCAAAGAACGUAUUUCUGCUUGCAUCUUACAACAUGCCUACACUGAAAGAAAUUAUACAUAACAAAAUUUCAUUUCAAUUUCCUGUAACAGGGUACCCUGUGAAAUGGAAAAGAGAAGACGCUGUUAGACACAGUCUGUACUGUAUAGUUCUACUCUGCUCUGAAGGGCUGCUAAAUGGAAACUUUCAGUUUCAAUAAACCUUUUUUUGACA
This is a long non-coding RNA of Pseudopipra pipra, 1119 nucleotides long. RefSeq lists it as uncharacterized. The record is from RefSeq and is a predicted model, not a curated record. The transcript is spliced from 2 exons. Lineage: Eukaryota; Metazoa; Chordata; Aves; Passeriformes; Pipridae.